CUGUAGUUCUAUGGUCUGGAAGAUGCACCGUCUUCCUUCUGUAGUUCUACGUCUUUACACAUACACCUUAGCAAAGUUUUAUGGAAUGUGUGCCGCGUCUAACGCAAUACAAUACAACUUUCAGCAACGGAUCUCUUGGCUCUCGCAUCGAUGAAGAACGCAGCGAAAUGCGAUAAGUAAUGUGAAUUGCAGAAUUCAGUGAAUCAUCGAAUCUUUGAACGCACCUUGCGCCCCUUGGGUAUUCCGAGGGGCAUGCCUGUUUGAGUAUCAUGAACACCUCAACUCCUCACGGUUUGCUGUGAUGAGCUUGGACUUCUGGAGGUUUUGCUGGCCUGUGGUCGGCUCCUCUCAAAUGGAUCAGCUUGCCAGUGUUUGGUGGCGUCAUGGGUGUGAUAACUAUCUACGCUUGUGGCUGUCUGCUANGUAACCUUCAGCAAUGGGGGUUCGCUGGAGCUCACAAAAGUCUUUCCUCAGUGAAGACAGCUUUUUAACGUUCGAUCUCAAAUCAGGUAGGAUUACCC
Molecule: ribosomal RNA, 521 nt
Filed under: uncultured Thelephoraceae
Lineage: Eukaryota; Fungi; Basidiomycota; Agaricomycetes; Thelephorales; Thelephoraceae
Description: eukaryotic LSU rRNA
Rfam family: 5.8S ribosomal RNA (bases 116-270)
Source: RNAcentral